AUGAACGCUGGCGGCGUGCCUAAUACAUGCAAGUCGAGCGAACAGACGAGGAGCUUGCUCCUCUGACGUUAGCGGCGGACGGGUGAGUAACACGUGGAUAACCUACUUAUAAGACUGGGAUAAUUUCGGGAAACCGGAGCUAAUACCGGAUAAUAUAUUGAACCGCAUGGUUCAAUAGUGAAAGACGGUUUUGCUGUCACUUAUAGAUGGAUCCGCGCCGCAUUAGCUAGUUGGUAAGGUAACGGCUUACCAAGGCGACGAUGCGUAGCCGACCUGAGAGGGUGAUCGGCCACACUGGAACUGAGACACGGUCCAGACUCCUACGGGAGGCAGCAGUAGGGAAUCUUCCGCAAUGGGCGAAAGCCUGACGGAGCAACGCCGCGUGAGUGAUGAAGGUCUUCGGAUCGUAAAACUCUGUUAUUAGGGAAGAACAAAUGUGUAAGUAACUAUGCACGUCUUGACGGUACCUAAUCAGAAAGCCACGGCUAACUACGUG
RNAcentral lists this ribosomal RNA (496 nucleotides) under uncultured bacterium. Its description in RNAcentral is "partial 16S ribosomal RNA". It matches the Rfam family "Bacterial small subunit ribosomal RNA", at positions 29 to 507 of the family's 1533-position model. The record is from RNAcentral.